UACGGAGGGAGCUAGCGUUAUUCGGAAUUACUGGGCGUAAAGCGCACGUAGGCGGCUUUGUAAGUAAGAGGUGAAAGCCCGGAGCUCAACUCCGGAACUGCCUUUUAGACUGCAUCGCUUGAAUCCAGGAGAGGUGAGUGGAAUUCCGAGUGUAGAGGUGAAAUGCGUAGAGAUCGGGAGGAACACCUGUGGCGAAGGCGGCCCCCUGGGCCGCGCCUGACGCUGAGACGCGAAAGCGCGGGGAGCGAACGGG
RNAcentral lists this ribosomal RNA (253 nucleotides) under uncultured bacterium. Its description in RNAcentral is "partial 16S ribosomal RNA". It matches the Rfam family "Bacterial small subunit ribosomal RNA", at positions 524 to 776 of the family's 1533-position model. The record is from RNAcentral.